RNAcentral lists this long non-coding RNA (1106 nucleotides) under Linum usitatissimum (flax). RNAcentral's name for it is "long non-coding RNA (LUSI_LNC004688)". The record is from RNAcentral. Lineage: Eukaryota; Viridiplantae; Streptophyta; Magnoliopsida; Malpighiales; Linaceae.
UGCUUAUAUGUACUCAAAUAACUAAUUCGUCAACAAAAACUGCUCAAGAUGUCAUAUAUGACUUAUUGACUUUUCACAAUACAGUACACUAUACCAGAAGUCCAACAUGACACAUAUACAUAUAGAACAGAAGUCUCGAGCUCCACAGGCUUGGACCAGAGUAACCAUAUACUUGCCCUCAAGGCCACUAUAUUUUACAAAACCAUAUCUCACAUUGUACUAGUACACAACCACUCAUAACAUAUGCACAUGAUGGAAGUAAGAGUCAUAAACAAACUUUAAAUACAAAACGAGGAUCAAGACACAAUCUUCGAUAUCUACCUGGCGUCGUCACCAUGAUGACCGACCCCAGAGCUCGAUGAUACCAUGUUGCAGUGUGUGACCCAGUAAAACCUACUGUCGCUCUGAAAUGGAAAGUAAAGAUCAGUGCUAAUCACUGAGUGAGGAUCUACGUCCUAGUCACUCUAUGGUACAAAUAUUCAUAUAGAAAGUAUACAACAUAUAACACAUAAGGCUAAUUCUAUAAUAUAAUUUAUAUCCAUAUUUUAUUUGGGAUCCCGACUCACAUGUGCUGACGACCCACGUAGAGUUAGUGGCACUAAAAUGGCCCACAUAGAGUUAGUGUGGCACUUAUUAGUGUGGCUCUUAUCAAAACCCACAACAAUAGUUAGUUGUGGCGCUUACCAAGGCCCACCGCGUAACAGAAGUGCAAUAAGCACAAUCGCCAGCAUACGGGCCCUAACUAGGUGAUCAAUCAAUUACCAGAUUUAUUCAAUAAUCAGUAAUAGCUACUGCUCAUAUUAACACAUAUAUUAAAUCAGAUACAUCAACAAAGUAACAGAACAUGUAUCAUAUUAAGUAAUAAAUAUGGUAAAGAAGCAUAUAAAAUCUUAAGAUUAAAUGGACAUUACCUUAUCAUGCAUAUAGCCUUAAUAAUAAUAAACUCAUAAUGGAACGUCUAACCCGGUCAGAUACGCAGGAGACCCUCACCAGAAAUAAUCCUCAAAAACCCCGAUAUCAGCUUCCGAGUUACGACCUUAAUUCCGACAACAGAGUGUCACUGCUAAUUCCUCCAAGUCUCAUUUAUGUAGGAAACUGCUCUCUGC